GGGGGUAUAACUCAAUUGGUAGAGUGUUUGCUUUGCAAGCAUAAAGUUAUCGGUUCAAAUCCGUUUGCUUCCA
This 73-nucleotide transfer RNA is filed under the name Flavobacteriales bacterium. RNAcentral's name for it is "tRNA-Ala". It matches the Rfam family "tRNA". Rfam says of the family: Transfer RNA (tRNA) molecules are approximately 80 nucleotides in length. Their secondary structure includes four short double-helical elements and three loops (D, anti-codon, and T loops). The record is from RNAcentral. Lineage: Bacteria; Pseudomonadati; Bacteroidota; Flavobacteriia; Flavobacteriales.